GCCAGACAUGGUGGUGCAUGCCCGUAGUCCCAGCUACUUGGGAGGCUGAGGUGGGAGGAUCACUUGAGCCCAGGAAUUUGAGGCUGCAGUGAGCUAUGAUUGCACCACUGCACUCCAGCCUGGGCAACAGAGCGAGACCCUGUCUCAA
Molecule: non-coding RNA, 148 nt
Organism: Homo sapiens (human)
Lineage: Eukaryota; Metazoa; Chordata; Mammalia; Primates; Hominidae
Rfam family: Metazoan signal recognition particle RNA
About the family: The signal recognition particle (SRP) is a universally conserved ribonucleoprotein. It is involved in the co-translational targeting of proteins to membranes. The eukaryotic SRP consists of a 300-nucleotide 7S RNA and six proteins: SRPs 72, 68, 54, 19, 14, and 9.
Source: Rfam